GGCAGCAGCCGCGGUAACACCGGCGGCCCGAGUGGUGAUCGUGAUUAUUGGGUCUAAAGGGUCCGUAGCCGGUUUGGUCAGUCCUCCGGGAAAUCUGAUAGCUCAACUAUUAGGCUUUCGGGGGAUACUGCCAGACUUGGAACCGGGAGAGGUAAGAGGUACUACAGGGGUAGGAGUGAAAUCUUGUAAUCCCUGUGGGACCACCUGUGGCGAAGGCGUCUUACCAGAACGGGUUCGACGGUGAGGGACGAAAGCUGGGGGCACGAACCGGAUUAGAUACCCGGGUAGUCCCAGCCGUAAACGAUGCUCGCUAGGUGUCAGGCAUGGCGCGACCGUGUCUGGUGCCGCAGGGAAGCCGUGAAGCGAGCCACCUGGGAAGUACGGCCGCAAGGCUGAAACUUAAAGGAAUUGGCGGGGGAGCACAACAACGGGUGGAGCCCUGCGGUUUAAUUGGACUCAACGCCGGACAACUCACCGGGGGCGACAGCAAUAUGUAGGCCAAGCUGAAGACUUUGCCUGAAUCGCUGAGAAGUGGUGCAUGG
RNAcentral lists this ribosomal RNA (542 nucleotides) under uncultured archaeon. Its description in RNAcentral is "bacterial SSU rRNA". It matches the Rfam family "Archaeal small subunit ribosomal RNA", at positions 457 to 997 of the family's 1478-position model. The record is from RNAcentral.